GCGCCUAUAGCUCAGUGGAUAGAGCAACUGCCUUCUAAGCAGUAGGUCGCAGGUUCGAAUCCUGCUGGGCGCA
RNAcentral lists this transfer RNA (73 nucleotides) under Candidatus Woesebacteria bacterium. Its description in RNAcentral is "tRNA-Arg". It matches the Rfam family "tRNA". From Rfam's summary of the family: Transfer RNA (tRNA) molecules are approximately 80 nucleotides in length. Their secondary structure includes four short double-helical elements and three loops (D, anti-codon, and T loops). The record is from RNAcentral. Lineage: Bacteria; Candidatus Woeseibacteriota.